Molecule: transfer-messenger RNA, 351 nt
Filed under: Peptoniphilus lacrimalis
Lineage: Bacteria; Bacillati; Bacillota; Tissierellia; Tissierellales; Peptoniphilaceae
Also listed under: 2 other names
Rfam family: transfer-messenger RNA
About the family: Bacterial tmRNA, also known as 10Sa RNA or SsrA, is named for its dual tRNA and mRNA-like properties. Its role is to liberate the mRNA from a stalled ribosome.
Source: RNAcentral
GGGGGCGAAAAUGGUUUCGACGGGGAUUCUGAGCCUUAAGUAGCGAGUCGUUGAUGAAUCACACAACGCUAAAAUGGUUCAUAAAAAUAAACGACGAAAAUAAUUUCGCACUAGCUGCCUAAGGGUAGCUUAUCUAGCUUAAAGUGCCCACGCUUUAAAAUCUAGGUAUCAAAUUUUGUGGGGAACCGCACUGCACAAGUUGUCAUAAUGCAGGACGGAACUUAUGACAAUAUCCUACGAUUUUUUUGAUUAUUUAAAAGACUAGGAGAAAAUUUAAAAAUAGUCUGCACUCGGAGAAGCUUUUUGCAGACGAAUCUUCGGACGUGAGUUCGACUCUCACCGCCUCCACCA